GAGCUCGAGUUCUACUACUUUGUGUGCACACGAAUCGAGCUCGUGUCUGUCCCUAAGCUUAGGAAAGUGUGCUGCAAAUCUUGGCCCUGCAAGAACCCCCCGGUGCGCUUCGGCUACGUUCCAAAGCUUCAUGAUAUAACUCUCCAUGCUAUUGCCAAGGCAUGGCAGGCGCCAUUUGCUUUGAGUGAGUGCCUACCAAGGAGCGCCAGGAAUCUGUCUAAUCGGUGUCUUGGUUUUGGCACCCGAAUGAUUUGGGUUCAGCUGGAGCAUCCGAAGCACCUCACUGCUACAUUCCGCAACUUGACUUCUGUGGCGCUUAUCAAUAUCUUUCCUGAGUGUGAUCUGAGCUGGACCCUGUUUAUCCUUGAGGUUGCACCUGCCCUGCAGAAUUUCGAUUUGUCUCGAGACCGGCCUUCAUGUUUCAACAUUCCCAAGGAAAGUGCUGAGAAGACCACCAUGGUGUGGGAGCCAUCCAAGGAUUUGAAGCACCUGAACUUGAAGUUGCUCCAGAUAUUUGGGUUCGAGGAGGAAGACAAGGUGACAAACUACAUAAGGCUAGUCAUGGAGCGAGCUGUGGGGUUGAAGAGAAUCAAGCUGCGUGGUGAACUCCCAUGCAAGAAAUGUGAUGCCAUUGACCCAAGGAGGUCCCAGGUGGAUGAAGCUCGCAGGAUUCGAAUCAAGGAGCGACUCACACGUGGAUCCUCCUCAUCCGUGGAGAUAAUAAUGUGCUGA
RNAcentral lists this ribosomal RNA (732 nucleotides) under Triticum aestivum (bread wheat). RNAcentral's name for it is "partial small subunit ribosomal RNA". The record is from RNAcentral. Lineage: Eukaryota; Viridiplantae; Streptophyta; Magnoliopsida; Poales; Poaceae.